CUCUUAUCCCGAGCUGGUGGAGGGACAGGCCCUAUGAAACCCAGCAACCUGCUAUCAAAGGAAAGCGGCGAUUAUGCCCAAAUGACAUUUUCCGACGCAAAGGUGCUAACCUGAUGCAAGGCGAAAGCCCUUGAUCGAUAAGAG
This 144-nucleotide non-coding RNA is filed under the name Metabacillus litoralis. RNAcentral describes it as "Bacillus litoralis SAM-I sequence". It matches the Rfam family "SAM riboswitch aptamer (S box leader)". Rfam says of the family: The SAM riboswitch is found upstream of a number of genes which code for proteins involved in methionine or cysteine biosynthesis in Gram-positive bacteria. Lineage: Bacteria; Bacillati; Bacillota; Bacilli; Caryophanales; Bacillaceae. The record is from Rfam by way of RNAcentral.